CUAUGAGUGAAUAUAAUCUAGACGUUUGAAAAUUGUUUUUAUAUUUGUAAUUUAUAGCUCCUAAAUAAUUCUUUGGUAAUAUAAUAUGUAAUCAAUGCAGAAAACUUGAAAGUUACAAAAAAUCCAAAAAACAUUUUACCCACAAUUCUACCACCAAGAGAUAACCAGUAUUAAUGCCUUGGCCAGUAUCCCAGUUAGUUUCUAAUACAUGCAUAAGUAUUUAUACAUGUGCAUUGGUACAAGAAAUCUGACUAUACACAUUAUUUUACAACCAUUUUCCACUUUUUGGAAUGAGAGUUUUUCCAUGAUAUUUUGCAUUUUUUAUAAUACAGUUUUAACGGAUGCAUAGUAUUUAAUUACAUUGUUGAGUCUCAGUUGAGUUAACCUAAGCCACUAUUUAUGUACAUUUGUUUCCAGUUUUUCAUCUUUAUAAAUAGUUGGAUGCCUAUCUAUUUCCUUGCUUUUAAUUAUUUCCUCAGGGCACACUCCUAAAAGUGAAAUUGCUUGGUUAAACUCCUGAGACUUUGGAUAUAUGAUGAAAAAGGUCCCCUGGAAAAAAAAAAAAAAAAAACCCAUGCUGAUAUAGACUUCCACUAGCUGGAAACAUGUCCACUCUCAUCAUACCUCACUUUUACUAGGUACUUGUUUUGAUUUUUAACUUUUGUCAUUUUAGUAGUCAUAAAAUGACUAAAAAACAGUGUUCUAUGCUUUAUAUUUCACGUGAAAUUAGAAUACAUAUUUAAUGAUGCUUUAAGAUUUGUAAUGCUGCUUUGAAAAUAAAACUAGAAACAAAAUCUAAUUUAGAGGAAAUGGGAGCUUCUAGGAUAUGAACGUUGUGAAGACAAAGUUCAAGGUUAUGCUGUUUACAAAAGCAAAUCAACAAAUUACAAAGUAAUGCAAGCAAGAGAAUGGAAACCACAACGACUCCCAUUUAAAGAAGGCAAGCAAAAUCAGGGUGGAGAAUUCUUGUUCCUCUGUCCCCUCAAAUCAGAGUUUGCCGUCAUCUCUGAUGAAAAAUAUAUUCUUAGGUUGGUUAAUAUGGUGGCACCUCAGAAUUCCUGUGACUUUUCUCUUGGAAGAGUUUACACUGACAGAAUCUUAAAGAAGCGAGUUGUCAGUGAAGAUGACAUUCUACUAGAAAUGAUAAAACAGUACUGCAGAGAUGAAGUAACUUGCCCUAACGUCCAUACCUGGUAAGUAACAAAAGAAGUAAAUACAUUUGAACAAAUAUUUGAAAAACAUGGAAGUUCUCUAUAAUCUAACACUUCAAAUAUAACCAUAGUUUGGGAUAUGAAUUUAAGUACUUAUUAUAUACACAUAAAAACCAAUAUUUAUAGUUUUUCCAAAAAUGGAAUUAUACUAUAUGUAAAAAUGAGUCUACAAAUUGUUUUUAUGAAUACUUUAUAGAGAUAGAAUGUCUUAUUUUCUCUCUGCUAAUAUGUAGAUGGUAGAGAGCAGAAGGUAGCAAACUGGAAAGGACCAGAUCAUGAAUCCUUAGGCUUUGUGGACCCUACAGUCUCUGUCACAGAUACUUAACCCUGCUGUUGUGUUGCAAAAGCAGCUCUGGGUCAAUAUGUAAGCAAAAGUGUGAUCACAUUCCAAUAAUAUGAGAUUUAUAAAACAAACACCAGGUAACAACUGUCCAGCGGAUUGUGGUUUGCUAAUUCCUGGAAUACAGAAGGAAAAAAACAUUACAUUGAUUUAGAAAACAAUGAAGGUGAGCAGGGAGCAUAAUGUUUAUCCUGGGUGUAGGGGCCAGAAACUGGAUUUGAGUUUCCAUGUCAGCUGUGACCUUGAUUAAGGUAGGUAGACUCACUGCCUCAUGAGUAGAGUGUGAGUACUAAUACCCAGAUUUCAGGGUUAUCCUGAAGCUUAAUGAAAUAAUUCAUGCAAUUCAUCUGUUAGUAGGUAAGAAAACUUGCUUUCUUUGGGGAUAGGGGUAAAAGCAGUAUUUAUGUACUCACAUAGACGAAGCAUUUGAGCAAGGAAGAAGUGGUCGAAUUUGCCGUAUCUCGACAAGUCAAAGAUAUACAUCAUAUGGAUCCCCUCAAAAGUCAUGUUUCCAACUAUUGGCAAAGGUUGUGUAGACAGAACUAUUACCAGAAUGGUCCUGAGAUUUCCUGAGAAAGGAUUAACAUACUUGGCCUGGAACUUUUGCAAUAAAUGAAACAUUAGCGUUAAUUCAUAAUGAUUUAAAAAGAUAGAAGAUAUUUUAGAGGGAAAAAUCUAAUUACAGUGAAAAUAAAAUUUCAUUUAUUCAUCAUUUCCUUCAUUAUUAUUUUUGGGGAAAGAUAAAUAAGUACAUGCAAAGAAUAGCAAAGAAAAACAUCGAAGUGUACUAGGAGACAAUAAGGAAUUGAUGUGAUGCUGCCUAACUGUAAAUUUCUCUUAUUAUACAUCAUAUUUUAUUUAAUCUUCCAGUGUACAUAUUGGGUAAGUUCAAUUGGUAUUUUAAAACAGAAUCUAUAUAGCAGUUCUAAAUAACCUUAUUGCUUUUUUUCUAAUUGAUUUUGAACUUAAUGUAUUUUUUAUGACUUUGUAACUUUGUUUCCUGCUCUGCUUGGUGUAGUUAUACAUUCGGUUGAGUGCUUUAAGAUUUGAACACAGUUUUCUUGUUAUUUUAUUUUGCAGUUGCUUUUCAUUCAG
RNAcentral lists this long non-coding RNA (2646 nucleotides) under Callithrix jacchus (white-tufted-ear marmoset). RNAcentral's name for it is "lncRNA (ENSCJAG00000071197.1)". Lineage: Eukaryota; Metazoa; Chordata; Mammalia; Primates; Cebidae. The record is from RNAcentral.